GGACUACCAGGGUAUCUAAUCCCGUUUGCUCCCCUGGCCUUCGUGCCUCAGUGUCAGGAACUGUCCAGAGAUCCGCCUUCGCCACUGGUCUUCCUCAUGAUAUCUACGCAUUUCACUGCUACACCAUGAAUUCCGAUCUCCUCUCCAGUCCUCGAGCAACGCAGUAUCGAAUGCAGUUUCGGGGUUAAGCCCCGAGAUUUCACACCCGACUUACGUCGCCACCUACGCACCCUUUACGCCCAAUGAAUCCGAACAACGCUUGAGACCUCUGUAUUACCGCGGCUGCUGGCAC
This 292-nucleotide ribosomal RNA is filed under the name uncultured Verrucomicrobiota bacterium. RNAcentral's name for it is "uncultured Verrucomicrobia bacterium partial 16S ribosomal RNA". The record is from RNAcentral. Lineage: Bacteria; Pseudomonadati; Verrucomicrobiota.